GGAGAAGGGGUCAUCGGUGGGGGUGGAAGAGUCCUUGCCGAAGAAGUAGGCUCGGAGACGGAGACGGCGGAAGAAAAGUUCCGCAUCGUGGCGAACACGGAACUCGCUGAGGUGUGGGCGAAGCGGGACAAAGGAAUUCACAAUGAAACAAGGAAAUGCAAUGAAAACUUACACACAAAUACUGUAGUAAUACACAAAUACUACAAAACCAAUGUGCAAAAGAAGACUGUCAUGGUCAGGUCCGUGAAGUCCACAUUCCGGUUCACGGUCCAGUCCAUCGAUCCAUAAUCCAGGAUUUCCGGUUUUCCCUUGUUCUGUUGGUGCCUUAAUUGAGGCACAUGAUUCUCAUUUUGAGCUGGCUACAUAAAUAGCUCCUGGGUUCAGCUUCAUUGGCUGGACUGUUCCCUUCCCUUCACCUUCCUCCUGAAGCCUUGCCUGCAACCUUUGCCUAAAGCCUUGCCCUGAAGAGUUGCCUGCAACCUUGCCUGCAUCCUCGCCUGUAUCGCUGUCAAGUUCUACCGCCGGAGCAAGACCGGAGCCUUGCUGUGUCUAGAUAAGGAACUUUCUGUCGUUGUUUGGAACUGUCUCUGCGUCCGCGCCUUCGCUAGGACUCACUACCUCAAGAAAAUAACAUCCAGCAUCAAGGAUACCAAUCAUCCAGUCCGUGACAUCUUCUUGCAGCUACAAUUGGGCAGGAGAUAGAGAAGACUGAAGUCUCACAAGACCAGUUUCAAGAACAGCUACUUCCCUUCAACAAUUUGAUUCAUGUACAAACCAGUACAACCCUAAUUACUACAGCACCAUGACCAGUUUGAUAACUUUACACUAAAAUGGACUUGUUUUUGUUUUAUACUUCUAAUUGUGUUCUUUCUUGUAAAACAUGUGAUUAAUUAAUGUUUUUCUUUUGAAUGCUGCUUAUGUGAUGGGCGCGUGGCCAAGUGGUUAAGGUAUUGGACUGGUGACCUGAAGGUCGUGAGUUCGAGCCCCAGCCGAGGCAGCGUGUUGUGUCCUUGAGCAAGGCACUUAAUCACACAUUGCUCUGCGACGACACCGGUGCCAAGCUGUCUGGGUCCUAAUGCCCUUCCCUUGGACAACAUUAGUGUCGUGGAGGGGGGAGACUUGCAGCAUGGGCAACUGCUGGUCUUCCAUACAAACUUGCCCAGGCCUGCGCCCUGGAGAGUGAAGACUUUCCAGGUGCGGAUCCAUGGUCUCGCAAGACUAACAGAUGUGAUGGAACGCACCUGUGAUGCUGCUGCAAUUAAGUUUUCAUUGAACCUGUGCAUACUUGUACUUGUGUAAUUGACUUUGUUAUCUCCUUGGCUCUUCAGACAACUCUGGAACAUCUGGACAGCAAAGAUACAUACAACAGGAUGCUCUUUAUCAAUUACAGCUCAGCAUUUAACACCAUCAUCCCCUCAAAACUAAUCAGUAAAUUCCAGGACCUGGGCCUCAAUCCCCCCUUGUGCUAUUGGAUUCCAUAUUUCCUCACUUGCAGAUCCUAAUCAGUUUGGAUUGGCAAAAACAUCUCCUCCACAAUCUCCAACAGCACAAGAGCACCACUAGGAUGUGUGCUUAGCUCCCUGCUCUACUCGUUUUACACCUGUGACUGCAUGGCUACGAAACAGCUCCAACACCAUAUAUAAGUCUGCUGAUGAUACCACUGUUGUGGGCUGUAUCAAAGUGGGCAAUCAAUCAGCAGACAGGAGAGAGAAUGAAAAUUCGGCUGAGUGGUGUAAUAACAACAACCUCUCACUCAAUGUCAAUAAGACCAAGGAACUGAUUAUAGACUUCAGGGGAGGAAAACCAGAGGUCCAUGAGCCAGUAGUAAUCAGAGGAUCAGAGGUGAAGAAGAUCAAAAUGUCAUGGUCCGGACCGUGAAGUCCGCAUUCCGGUUCAUGGUCCGGUCCAUUGAUCCAUAUUCCAGGUUUUCCAAUUUCCCUUGUCCUGUUGUGUGCCUUAAUUGAGGCAUAUUAUUCUGAUUUUGGGCUGGCUACAUAAACAACUCCUGGGUUCAGCUUCAGUUGUUGGACUGUUCCCUCCCCUUCCCUUUGCUUCUGAAGCCUUGCCUGCUAUCUUUGCCUGUGUCCUUGCCUGUAAUGCCGUCAGGUUCAACAGCCAGGGCAAGACUGGGGCCUUGCUGUGUCUAGAUAUGGAACUGUCUUUCAUUGUUUGGAACUGUCUUUCAUUGUUUGGAACUGUCUCUUUGUGUCCUCGCCUUUGCUAGGUAGGUCCGGCUGUUUGCUGAUACCUUGAAUUGGGAACUGUCUCUGUGUCCAUGCCUUCGCUAGGUAGGUCUGGCUGUUUGCUGCUACCUUGUGUUGGAAACUGUCUCUCUGUCCAUGCCUUUGCUAGGUAGGUCCAGCUAUUUGCCGCUACCUUGUGUUGGGAACCGUCUCUUUGUGCCCUCGUCUCCGCUGGGUAUGUCCGGCCGUUUGCCGCCACCUUGAGUGGAGAUCUGUCUCUCAGUGUCCUGUGUGUGAGUCCUGGCCCUACGCUCUGCUCCCUAGGAGGGGUCUUGACACUGUGUUGAGCCCUGGCCACAAGUCCUGUUCCCAAGGAGGGGACCCGGCUCUGUGUUCUGCGUUCCUGUCCUCUCAGGACCAAGGCAAGGAUUCGUGUUCUCGUCCUGUCCAUGUGCCUCGCCCAGCCUGGUGCUGGGGUACCCUCGUCCUGUCCAGGAGUCUCAUGUCCAGUCCUGUAGCCAUGUCCAGUCCUGUAACCAUGCCAUGUCCAGUCCUGUUACCUUGCCACGUCUUCUCCUUGCCUGGAUCUGGAGUCCGAGCCUGAGUCAAGACCCAGGUUCCGGGUUCCUGUCCAGUCUCUGGUUUUCCCUUGUCCUAUUGUGUGUCUUAAUUGAUGCAUAUGAUUCUGAUUUUUGUGCUGGCUACAUAAAUAGCUCCUGGGUUCAGCUUCAUUUGCUGGACUGUUCCCUCCCCUUCCCCUUCCUUCUGAAGCCUCGCCUGCUACCUUCGCCUGUGUCCUCAUCUGUAACGCCAUCAGGUUCAACCGCCAUCCUUGCUGUGUCUGGAUAAGGAACUGUCUUUAGUUGUUUGGAACAGUCUCUUUGUGUCCUUGCCUUCGCUAGGUAGGUCUGGCUGUUUGCUGCUACCUUGAGUGGAGAUCUGUCUCUCAGUGUUCUGUGUAUGAGUCUCAGCCCUACAUCCUGCUCCCUAGGAGGGGUCCUGACUCUGUGUUGAGCCCCGGCCCCAAGUCCUGUUCCCAAGGAGGGGUCCCUGCUCUUUCUGCGUUCCUGUCCUCCCCCGUCCAAGGCUCUGCGUUCUUGUCCAUGUGCCUCGCUCAGCCUGGUGCUGGGGUUCCCUCGUCAUGUCCAGGAGUCUCACGUCCAGUCCUGUAGCCACGUCUUGUCCGAGCCUGCAUCCAGAGUCCGAGCCCAAGUCUAGACCCAGGUUCCAGGUCCCUGUCCAGUCUCUGGCUCGGAGUCCUUGACCAGGUUCCAAGUUCCUAGUUCCUUGUCCAGGUCCUGCUUUCCUAGUCUAGUCCUAGCCCAGGCCCUGUAUUCUAGUCUCAUCCAGGGCCUGUGUCUUGUCCAGUGUCGUUUCUUCCUUGCUUUCCUGACACACCUAGUCCUGUUCCUAGUACUUCAGUGUCUGUAUCUUGCAUUUGGGUCCGCUCCCAGCACCCCUGUUAUGACACAGAAACUUUAAAUCCCUGGGUGUCACAAUCUCAGAAGACUUGUCCUGGACCCAUCAUAUAAAUAUAAUUGUGAAGAAUGCACAAGAGCGCCUUGACUUCCUCAGGAGUCUGUGGAGAUUCGGUACGACAUCAAAAACCUUGGCAAACUUCCAUAGAUGUGCGGCGCAGAGUGUGCUGACUGGCUGCGUUACAGCCUGGUAUGGGAACACCAACGCCUUUGUGCGGAAAAUCCCAUAACAAGUAGUGGACUUGCCCCAGUACAUCACAGGUAAAACCCUCCCAAUAAUUGAGCACACCUAUAUAAAACAUUGCCGUAGAAAAGCAGCAUCCAUCAUCAAAAUUCCUCACCAUCCAGGCCAUGCUCUUUUCUCACUGCUGCCAUCAGGUACAAGGUACAAGUGUCUCAGGACUCACACCACCAGGUUCAAGAACAGUUACUACCCCUCAGCCAUCAGGCUCUUGAACAAAAGGGGAUAAUUAUGGUCAUCUAAGGACUCUUUUAUCGUUAUUUCAUGCUUGUUAUUUACUGCUAUUUACUUACAUUGAUAUUUGCACAGGUUGUUGUCUACUGAUCCCCUUUACAGUUACUGUUCUAUUGAUUUGCUAAGUUACUGUUCUAUUGAUUUGCUUAAGCCACAGGAAACAGUUGAGGCCAGUUCAUCGGCUAUAUUUAAGAGGGAGUUAGGUAUGGCCCUUGUGGCUAAAGGGAUCAGGGGGUAUGGAGGGAAGGCUGG
Long non-coding RNA from Mobula hypostoma (lesser devil ray), 4388 nucleotides. RefSeq lists it as uncharacterized. Lineage: Eukaryota; Metazoa; Chordata; Chondrichthyes; Myliobatiformes; Myliobatidae. The transcript has 3 exons. The record is from RefSeq and is a predicted model, not a curated record.